GGCCUAAAGGUUGCAGCGAGGUAGCUGGACGACUAAGCUAAGUGUAGCCCCACUUAUCAGGGCGGGGGGAUUUCCUAGUUCAGUUGGAGUGCCUCCACCCAAGCUGGUACACCCCGGCUUGCUUGGGGCACUCCUCGGCCUAUCUCCCAGAAUACAGAAGACCAACCACGGUAGGGCACUCCUCGGCCUAUCUCCCAGAAUACAGAAGACCAACCACGGUAGCGUUUAUUAUUUUGAGUUUACACUGGGGCUGAGCCCCUGGAUGGACGGACAGAACACCCCCUGGACUGAUACCGCAGAGCUGACAGAGCACCCCUGGACUGAUAUAGCAGAGCUCACAGAGCACCCUUGGACUGAUACAGCAGAGCUCACAGAGCACCCCUGGACUGAUACAGCAGAGCUCACAGAGCACCCCUAGACUGAUACAGCAGAGCUCACAGAGCACCCCUGGACAGAUACAGCAGAGCUUACAGAGCACCCCUGGACUGAUACAGCAGAGCACACAGAGCACACCUUGACUGAUACAGCAGAGCUCACAGAGCACCCCUAGACUGAUACAGCAGAGCUCACAGAGCACCCUUGGACUGAUACAGCAUAGCUGAAGAGCACCCCUGGACUGAUACAGCAGAGCACACAGAGCACCCUUGGACUGAAACAGCAGAGCUCACAGAGCAUCCCUGGACUGAUACAGCAGAGCUGAAAGAGCACCCCUGCACUGAUAUAGCAGAGCUCACAGAGCACCCUUGGACUGAUACAGCAUAGCUGAAGAGCACCCCUGGACUGAUACAGCAGAGCACACAGAGCACCCUUGGACUGAAACAGCAGAGCUCACAGAGCAUCCCUGGACUGAUACAACAGAGCUGAAAAAGCACCCCUGGACUGAUACAGCAGAGCUGAAAGAGCACCUUUGGCCUUGUACAGCAGAGCUCACAGAGCACCCCUGGACUGAUACAGCAGAGCUGAAAGAUUACUUCUGGACUGAUACAGCAGAGCUCACAGAGCACCCCUGGACUGAUACAGCAGAGCUCACAGAGCACCCCUGGACUGAUACAGCAGAGCUCACAGAGCACCCCUGGACUGAUACACCCCAUGCCAAAUAUACACAGUACUGACGGACACCUCCAUCCAGUACACUCUCCACUGCCAGAGUGAAGAUAGCGCCGAUCACGGGGACCUUUAUAGAAUCCAAAAUCGCAAAAAUCCAACAGUGGGAUUAUGACAUUUGGCCUCUCUUUGGGAUCUGAGUCUGAUGGGAAAACCGGAAAACCCGAGCCGAACUCGGAUCCUGGGUCAGAACUCAAUGUUUGAGUGGGUCCAGUUCUCAGAAAACCAGACCCGCUCAUCUCUUAUAUAUAUAUAUAUAUAUAUAUAUAUAUAUAGAUAUAUAUAGAUAUAGAUAUAUAUUUAUAUAUAUAUAUUUAUACAUACACACACACACACACACACAUGACUUUGGACUAUAGGGACUUUAGGAAAAGGGGUGAAAACUGUUCAAUUUACAUUUUAAACUGCAUCAACAUUAUAUAUAGUACAUAUUCCUAACAGAUGAGUAAUUUUAUUUUAAUAGUAAGAAUCAAUAUUCCUUUGAACUUGCAUUGUAAUGUCACAUAACACUAAGUAUUUUAUGCAAAUAUAGACAAGUUUUGAUGUUAAUGUAAACUAAAUAAAAAACCACACUAAAAUAUCCUGUAAAAAGUUUUAAAUAAUCAAAAUGAACUUUGUCACAAUAGUCGAAACACAGUAGUAAACUAAAGAGACUUUUUAUGAAUGGAUAUGUGUACAUUCCUGGAAUUCCAUCUGAUUUUGUAUUUCAGCUCAUAUCCACAUGUGUCAGUCAGGAGAACUAGCAUAACCCCCAGAAGGGGAUUCUUUUACAUUUGUCUUGCUUUAUGAAUAUGGGAAUAUGGGAUCCUUUACAAACGAUGACAAAUUAAAAGCGGAAAUAUUGAACAAUUUUUUUUCGUCAGUAUUCACAAGGGAGGAUGCACAGGUGACA
This is a long non-coding RNA of Pseudophryne corroboree (corroboree frog), 1996 nucleotides long. RefSeq lists it as uncharacterized. The transcript is spliced from 4 exons. NCBI's taxonomy places the organism in Eukaryota, Metazoa, Chordata, Amphibia, Anura, Myobatrachidae. The record is from RefSeq and is a predicted model, not a curated record.